AUCAAAAUGAGGAGGCUGUUUGUUCUGAAGUAUCUAAUGUGGAUACAUCCAUUCAUGGGUCUUCAAAGUUCUCUGAUUGCU
Molecule: small nucleolar RNA, 81 nt
Filed under: Oryza sativa (Asian cultivated rice)
Lineage: Eukaryota; Viridiplantae; Streptophyta; Magnoliopsida; Poales; Poaceae
Description: Small nucleolar RNA R160
Rfam family: Small nucleolar RNA R160
About the family: snoR160 is a C/D box small nucleolar RNA, which acts as a methylation guide for 25S ribosomal RNA in plants. snoR160 has been alternatively named snoZ270 in rice.
Source: Rfam by way of RNAcentral